ACAGGCUUAACACAUGCAAGUCGAGGGGCAGCAUGGUCUUAGCUUGCUAAGGCCGAUGGCGACCGGCGCACGGGUGAGUAACACGUAUCCAACCUGCCGUCUACUCUUGGACAGCCUUCUGAAAGGAAGAUUAAUACAAGAUGGCAUCAUGAGUCCGCAUGUUCACAUGAUUAAAGGUAUUCCGGUAGACGAUGGGGAUGCGUUCCAUUAGAUAGUAGGCGGGGUAACGGCCCACCUAGUCUUCGAUGGAUAGGGGUUCUGAGAGGAAGGUCCCCCACAUUGGAACUGAGACACGGUCCAAACUCCUACGGGAGGCAGCAGUGAGGAAUAUUGGUCAAUGGGCGAGAGCCUGAACCAGCCAAGUAGCGUGAAGGAUGACUGCCCUAUGGGUUGUAAACUUCUUUUAUAAAGGAAUAAAGUCGGGUAUGUAUACCCGUUUGCAUGUACUUUAUGAAUAAGGAUCGGCUAACUCCGUGCCAGCAGCCGCGGUAAUACGGAGGAUCCGAGCGUUAUCCGGAUUUAUUGGGUUUAAAGGGAGCGUAGAUGGAUGUUUAAGUCAGUUGUGAAAGUUUGCGGCUCAACCGUAAAAUUGCAGUUGAUACUGGAUAUCUUGAGUGCAGUUGAGGCAGGCGGAAUUCGUGGUGUAGCGGUGAAAUGCUUAGAUAUCACGAAGAACUCCGAUUGCGAAGGCAGCCUGCUAAGCUGCAACUGACAUUGAGGCUCGAAAGUGUGGGUAUCAAACAGG
Molecule: ribosomal RNA, 745 nt
Filed under: uncultured Bacteroidales bacterium
Lineage: Bacteria; Pseudomonadati; Bacteroidota; Bacteroidia; Bacteroidales
Description: bacterial SSU rRNA
Rfam family: Bacterial small subunit ribosomal RNA
Source: RNAcentral